Long non-coding RNA from Carassius auratus (goldfish), 3057 nucleotides. RefSeq lists it as uncharacterized. The transcript has 4 exons. NCBI's taxonomy places the organism in Eukaryota, Metazoa, Chordata, Actinopteri, Cypriniformes, Cyprinidae. The record is from RefSeq and is a predicted model, not a curated record.
CAGGAGCUCAUUCAAAUACUGAGGUGCAAAACCCUUCAGUGCAUCAUAAGUUAUAAGCAAAAUUUUAAAAUAUAUUGUCUAUUUUUACCAGUUCCAGUUACCACAUUUAAUAAUUGUUGACAAUUAAGCAGUAAAUUCUUCAAAACAUAGAGGAAAGUCAGUUACGGAGGAUUGAAAUGAGAUAAGGACGAGUAAAUAAUUUUCAUUUGAAGUGAACCCAUCAGUUAGUGUUGUAAACCAGCCUGGAGAAACACAACCGUUCUUGGCUGCUAAUUACAUACAAAUGACUUGUGAUGGGACCAGAACGAUGGGUGGUCAAAGUUCAAUGGCUUUGGUUCAAGUUUAAUGGCGAUCAAAUCACCAGGGUUCCUUCUCCGAGGGCCCGCGACCGGCUAAUGGCCAUGACCGAGAGUGUGAGGGUCGCAUCUGGAUCAUUUCCAUGACAAUCAGGGUGGCGCUGAAGUAGGCGGGGCAAACGAGGAUGCUCUCUGAGAUAUAGUAGUUGGAUGUGAGGUAUGGCAUCUGUCUACCCUCGUUGAGAUUCUUGAUCUCUUUGACCAGUCAGUGUUGUAUUAUUAAAAUCGCCCUCCGGUCAUAGGAUUAGGGAGGGGUAGGAGCCAGUCAAAAUGAUAGCCCGAAAUGCACUACUGCAGAGGGUGGCAUUGAACAGCUCAGCACGCCGACAGCACAGGGGGGCUGGAAAUGCAGCAAUUAGUCCUGUCUGUCUCUCCGUGCACUAUAAUCAAAAGCUCUGGGGAUGCCAAACAUGCUGAGGCGAUCACAUGAUUCAGGUCUCGCCUCAUUAUGCAUCUUCACAGGUUAGAUCUGGGCUUUGAGAACAAUGGAAUGUAUACUUGAAGUUAACAGAGAAUCAAAAGAAUCAAACUCAGUCAAAUUCUGAUAUGGUUUGCAUGAUCUUCCUUAUAUAUGAUAUUAUAUUAUGGUUUUUGGGCACCUAGUAUCAUCACUUGACGUUGCUUUCCAGGAGAAACAAAUGAGACAGCUGAUACUUGACGGUAUAGUUCAUCCAAAAAUGAAAAUUCUGUCAUUUACUCACCCUCAAGUUGUUCUAAAACUAUGAAAUUCUUUAGAUAUUUUGAAGAAUGUUGGUAACCAAACAUUUGCUGGUAGCCACUCACUUCCGAGUUAUGGGAAAAACAAAACAAACAAAAAAACAACAGCAAUAAAGUAAAUGGCUACCGUUCCAUUACCCAUGUGCACAUUCUUCAAAAUAUUUUGUGUUCAGCAGAAGAAAGAAAUUUAAAAAGGUUUGGAGCAACUUAUGUGUGAGUAAAUUAUGAGAAUGUUUCUUUUUUGGAUGAACUUUCCCUUUAAUAAUCUCCAUUACUUCUACAGAGCUACAGUGUGAAAGCAAAACCUUUGAGCUUCUGCAAAAAAUAAAAAAUAAAUUAAAAAAAGGGAAGCUUUUCUUAAUCAGUGUUUUUGUCUUAAAUUCCAGUAAAUCCCCCCUUGAAACAAGAAAAUUAAAUUGAGCAGCAAGCCUGUGUUAACAAGACUUGUUUUCAGAGGAUUUAAUUAUUUCUUUUUCAUGCACAAACUUUUUAGAUUUAUGCUUAGAAGAAAAAAACAAAAACUGUCAAUGGGGUAAGAAAAGUAAACUUAAUUCAAGUUUUAUUCUCAGAAAACAAGUCUUAAUGUCUUAUUCAAUUGUAAAACAUUUAGCCAUUGUAACUGGAAAACAAAACAAAAUGACUGAUUAUGAAAAUGAUCUUUUGCAGUGCAAUAAAUAUUAUGCCAAAACAAUGCUUUAAACAAGAAAAAAUAAUGGGGUAAGAAAAAUAAACUAUUUAACUAUUAAAAACAUGCCUUGUUAAUUCAAUUCUAAAAGGAUGUUUUAACUGGAAAAAAUACAGAUUAAGAAAAUGAUUUUUUUGCUUUGCAAUACAGUUUUUUUCCUUUGGGAAAAACAAAGUCCAAGGGCUGACUGUAGGAACGCUCUGUCUCAUCAUCUCCGGUCACACAUCACCGAGUUUGCUCCUCAAAGGUAGCGCCAAAGGAGAACAGCAGGGAGGAAGGUUUAUCGAAAGCAAAAUGCAGCUGUGUUGGAGUUGGCAGGUGGUUAAACGAGUGACCAGGAGACUGGAUGGUUGGCUGCAGUGUCUCGGCGUCUCUCUCCCCCUGAGUCCAGGUCUAUGGCUGGAACACUGUGACCUAUAGCUGCUCUUGGCAGGGCCGUGGGGUUACCAGAAGGGCAGAACCGCUCUCUGGAUCUGGCAUCUAUCUCUAGCUCUGUUGUGGCAUUCAAGAACUGCCAUCAUUUGGAUCUUUUCUACAUCGUGACAUGAAGACAGCUCUUUCUAUCUCUCUCCAUCUGUCUCUCUCUUGGGGAACUCUGGGAGUACAUAAACCUGUGCCACGGCAAGAGCCAACAAUUGUGAAAUCACUGUUCAUGAUUGCACAGUUCAGAACUCUGGGACAUUUCUUAGUGCAGCUGUGGAAUCAAAGCUCAAAUGAAUCACUCCUCUCCGCUCAUUCGUUCAAAUUCACGCUCUGUACGUGUGAAGUCUUUCUUUCCAGGCCCAAGCUGUUGUUCGUAUCAGUCUUGCGCAGACAGUGGCUGGAUUGGGUUUAAUUGCUGUGAUGUGGACUUGAUAGGAGCGGUUCUCUCUUUCCGACUAAUUUUCUCCCCAGCAAUUGCGUUCCAAUUAAUAACAGCCAGCGAGGCAUUGCUUGUGGAUGUGAAAUGCAUAUGAUUGCCCUGUCACUCACCAGCCAGAAAGCUUUCAAUGGAUGGCAAUGUCCUUGUCUCAACCAAGCUAUAUUUUUUUGCUUUCCAGAUCUGCAUACUUGCCAUUGAUUGAUUCAUCCAUUCAAAACUAUAACAACAGGGAAGGAAACUUACAGAGGAAACAAUAAAAUCACCCAUUUUAUUAAAAAAAAUUUUUAACCUGUCCUUUGCACUAGUGUAAAUGAUGUUCAUAUGUUCAUAGUUCUGCCGAUAGUGUACAUACACGUUUACAAAAUCCAUCUGUAUAGUAUGUUCAUAGUACACCUAUCUGUAUAUCAUGCUGAUAGUAUUUAUAAUCUGUAAAUUAU